Molecule: long non-coding RNA, 1139 nt
Filed under: Zonotrichia albicollis (white-throated sparrow)
Lineage: Eukaryota; Metazoa; Chordata; Aves; Passeriformes; Passerellidae
Description: lncRNA (ENSZALG00000017953.1)
Source: RNAcentral
AUGGCACAGGACAGGCUGCAAUACCAUAACUAUGAUGAAACCACUGGCCUCAGGAACCAAAGCAGGGGAAGACUCACCACCAUCCCAGGAGAGAAACAGAAACCAAAAAGCUUCCUGAACUUUUUAUUGCCUUCUCACUUACACAGAAUCCCAGAAUCACUGAAAGUUGAAAAAGACCUCCAAAGUCAUCAAGUCCAACCUUUGACUGAUCCCCACCUUGUUAAAAAGGCAAGAGCACUGAGUACCAUGUCCAGUCCUUCUUCGGACACCUCUGGGUAUGGGGACUCUACCACCUUCCUGUGCAGCCCUUUCCAGUUCCUGACCACCCUUUCCAUGAAGAAAUUCCUCCUGAUGUCCAACCUAACACCAAGCAGAGAGGCAUCCCAAGCCAGCUUUCAAUGCCUUUUUUUCUGAAGAAGCCUUCUAAAAAGUUUGCUUUUCAGUAGAUACUAGGUCUGCAAUCAAAUGGAGGCCCAUGGGUUUUUUGUAAGAACAAGUGCUCACUUGAAGUAGGAUAUCUGCCAGGAUAUUUGCAUAGGAUUAAACAGGAAACUAAUGCAAGACAAGUUUAGUGAUUUAAAGAGUCUGAUCUCUGGCAAUAGUCUGUGUCUUCUUGCUGAGUUUACUCAUUUCUCACUAAAACUCCUCAUUAUUUCACUUAGAAUAAGGUUGUAUCCAUGGGUUAUCUUACUCGAUGAUAAUUUAGUCCAUACUAAAUUAUUCAGUUCUCAGUCUUAUUUGACAUAUAUAAACAAGAUAUACAUAAAUGAGAAACUUCAGACACAAUUCAGCCCACCAAAUACAUGAUAUUGAGGCCACAUUAAUAACUAGAUAAAAAACUUGAUUUUCUUCACCAAAAUCUGAUCAAUUUUUACUAAUAUUUUUAUUAACAUUAGGAACAAAACACUUCUCCAAAGUAGUCUGAACUUCAUAUGUUGUUACAGCCUGAACACACUAACUCGUAAACAGGUUUAUAAACACGUUCUGUAAUUCAUUAAAUUACAUUAGGCUAGAAAUCCCUGGGGUCAGAAUAAGAAAAGAGUAGAGAGGACUGCCUAGCUGAAAAGCAGUGAAAACCGGCACACUUGUAUAAUGCCUGUUUCUGUAAUAAAAUUUUCUUGUAAACUCUGUUGCUUACA